GGGAUUCACAUUCGUUCAUACCCCACUAGUAGUCCUUUAGUGGGGAAGAAGACUAUCAAGAUAGACGAGAUCACUGCAGUGUUUCUUCAAAAUGAGCUUCGAGAUUAGACGGUGGCAGCUCAGCUUUGACAGUUUCUAAAGGAGCAGAUGGCAGCAGACGGAGCGGCAGAAGAUCGCGAUGAGGGCGGUCCAAGUCCAGGAUGAGGGACUUGAGCAAGAUCAGAUGUUACCGGUAUAAUGAGUUAGGGCAUCGAGUUAGAGAUUGCUCAUAAUAAA
RNAcentral lists this long non-coding RNA (276 nucleotides) under Elaeis guineensis (African oil palm). Its description in RNAcentral is "long non-coding RNA (EGUI_LNC046924)". The record is from RNAcentral. Lineage: Eukaryota; Viridiplantae; Streptophyta; Magnoliopsida; Arecales; Arecaceae.